Long non-coding RNA from Asterias rubens (European starfish), 3142 nucleotides. RefSeq lists it as uncharacterized. The record is from RefSeq and is a predicted model, not a curated record. Lineage: Eukaryota; Metazoa; Echinodermata; Asteroidea; Forcipulatida; Asteriidae. The transcript is spliced from 3 exons.
CGGACGUCAACUUGGCUCUUUCUUCGACUUUUACACGGGAUUUGAGGAACUCAAACUGGACAAAAAUUUACACUAUCCUACAAUCUGGAAAGGAACCUUUUGACAAUAUAGGAAGGCUUUCAAUGGAGUACUCUUUGUCAAAAAUCUGUUUUUUCUGUGUUGAGUUUGCAACCAGUUUGGAGAGCAACCAGUUUGGAAGUUGAGCGCGGGAUUUCACGGACGAUAAUUAUUGACUAUGAUAUAAUGGAUGCAACUUCGCUGUUGAGCCUCCGACUGGCUUGCGAGUUCCACGGAAUUAGCAUAAGCCUUCUCUAUUAAUGUUGACCUUAAAACAGACAAUGUGAACUCAAAUAACAAUGUUAAACUUCUUCUGGACAAUAAAUGCAGCAAAGCUGGACAACUUGUUGUUUUUCUUUGGAGUAUUGCGGUCACAGGGGGAACUUCAGCCCUGGGAGAGCACCGCACAUGGAACUACGCUUGCCAUGCCAGCCCCGGGAGAGCCGUCAGUGUUCAUACGAGGACAAGGAGUGUUCAUCUGAGUGUGGAGAAUGUUGUCGAUGGAUUGGAUUUUCUCUGAUAUUCCAGUUUUUAAAACUGAACGAAACUUUUGACAGUAAAAUCAUUGGUUUCCAGAAACUCUAGCCUACUUGUGUAAACCAAUGGAAAAUUCGGUAAUUUGACACUAUUUUGAAGAGACUUUUAUCUAUGGAUUGUGUGGUCAAUGGUUUCGUCACAAGGUAAAGACAGAGUAUUGAAAGGCAACGUGACGGUAAGCGAAGAUCUAACCACAUUCCCCCAAUAAAUAAUCUUGCGGGUUUUAUAUUUCAGAAUAUUAAACGAGGUGCUUGUUGAUGUUGUCAACUUGUAUUGUCUUUCUUGGUGAUGUUACCACAAUUUGAUCUUUCUCGAUGGUUAAUUUCCUUGAGUUGCAUGUUGGUCGUAGCCAGUGAUGCAUUGUUGUAAUUUUUGGCUCAAUUCAAUGGAAGUUUUCUCUGGGUUGUUACAAGCUGAUGUCAACAGUUGUCAUGUUUAACUCAAAAUAUUGUCAUAAUUAAAUAAUUGCUAUAUAUCUAUAGUUGACCUAUUUUUUCUGGCACUGCCUGUACCCUCUUGUAAUAUUUUAAAAAUAUUUUUUACUCUGUAAAUAAGUUUGACCUGUUUUGUUCUUAAAAUUGAGACUAAAUACAAAAAGAAAAACAUAGAUCGUUUAAAAUAAAUAAAAACACAAUUGUCAAAAAAUUACUACUGAUAUAAAACGAUAGUAAAUAAAUUAUUACAGUUACACACAAUUAUUUCUACACAAUAUUUUAGAAAUUGAAAUGUAAGUGGUCCACACCCCAAACAAAAUUUGUUGUGCAAUCUUACAACAUUGUCAGCGUUGACCAAUUAAAUGUUUUUGGCUUAAAACAUCCUUACUCAGUCAAUAAUAAGACUAUAAAUUACAAAAUAAAUCAUGUGAUUAAACACCAAAUUACACAACAACUCCUGAGCCCAACCCCAAUAACCAAGCUUGUUUACAAAAGCCCAUACAGCUAAGAAUAGCAACUAUCAAUCUUAAGAUUGUGUAGCCGUGCUAAUGUAUACGGGCGCGUGCGAUUUAUUUUAUGCGAUUUAUGCGAAUAAUAAUUUAGGCAAGCACCGAAGAAAAAAAUAAACGCAAAAUGACAAAAAUCGCAGCCCAAAAAAAAAUGAUGACACUCUUUAUUGACUGCUAUGAUCUUUGAUGAUGUGUAGAUACCAGCCAUGGAGAUUGAAGACGUGUAAACAGUUUGGUGUGUGGUAAGUAAUUAUAGAAGGCUUAGAGUAAAAUGCCAGUGUAGGUCUAGAAAAUAUACCACUAAUCAUUUCCUCCUAACAGGUUAAGAACUCUUCUGGCUGGUAAUGUAUAAGCACUAUACUUAGUCUUGGUUCAAGCAAACAGUAUGUUCACACAAAAACUGUGCUGUUCUCCAACAAAGACUCGCUGAAUGAUACAUAUAGUAAAAAAACUACUUGAUACCAAGACUAAGUGUUACUGUAUGCCAUGAACCAAAGUCUUCGAUGCUUGGCCCCACUGCAGAAGGGUGUACUGACUGCUGAGAUAGAACAAGAGAACAAGGCAGCAAGGUUAAGUAUGAGGUAAAGUAUAAAUGAAGGGUAAUGGUAAACCCUAUGGGUAAGGUUAGGGACAACGUGGUAAGCGGUUAUCCUAACAAAAGGGCUAACCAACAUUUUUCCUCCUACAGCAAAAUAACUACUUUCUUUUCACAGCAAAUAAUUCCUCUUUCCUCUGCAGCAAAAUAAGAACUUUUUUCACCGGUAAUAAUAACCAUUUUAUUUUUUUCUUCACCAGAUAUCAACUUAUUCUUGAACGACUUUGGAGAAGGGUUAAGUAUUUUGGUAGGGUUUGGUUGGUAAGUUCUGUAAAUAACAACUUUCCAAUCACAUGUAAUAAUCUAGUUUGAUAUUUGUUUGUCUUGCAGCUUUAAUUCCUGACUGUUGAUGGCACAUUGCAUAUGAUGGCAUUUCUGGGACACUGCUGAUCACAGAGUUUGAAGUUACAGCAAGUUCAGGUAUAAGGUAAAGAGGGUGCUCAUAUUGUUUAGAAAUGUUCUCAACUUCAUUUGUUAAUUUCUGUUACAGGUUCUGUUUUCUUCAGCUGAGGACCCUCCCUUCAUAGCUGAUGGCAUCUAAUCUGAUUGAAGCUACCAUGUAAUGGAGAUGAUGGGUUCUAGUUUCUUCAGGUGAGGACCCUUUCUUCAUUGAUGUAUUCUGAUCCGAUGGAGUUACCAUGCAAUUGAAUUUGCGUUCGGUGCUUUUUUGAUGAGAUGACUCCGCCCCAAGACAUGGAUGAGACUGAGGUCACUGGAGGUUUACUUCAGGAUCAGAGACAUAGACGGAGCACUCUCCAGACCAAUGCAUCCAUCUAGUCCAUCUCUAAGAGUAACUUAGGUCUUCUUUUUUUAAAUCACAGCUUUUACUGAGGCUCUAUUUUGUUCUCUGUCUGUAAUUUUAAAAACAUACAAAUUGGGCUGGGGAAGUCAAAAGGUCUAAGCUGUGGUUUUAAAAAAAAUGGCCCAUAUGUUCAACUCAUGUUGUACAUGCAAUUUUGUAAUUUAAAGACACUGGACAUUUUUGGUAAUUACUCAAAACAUUCGUUAGC